GGAUGGGUCUGCGGCCGAUUAGGUAGUUGGUUAGGUAACGGCUUACCAAGCCAUUGAUCGGUACGGGUUGUGAGAGCAAGAGCCCGGAGAUGGAAUCUGAGACAAGGUUCCAGGCCCUACGGGGUGCAGCAGGCGCGAAACCUCCGCAAUGUGAGAAAUCGCGACGGGGGGAUCCCAAGUGCCAUUCUUAACGGGAUGGCUUUUCAUUAGUGUAAGGAGCUUUUGGAAUAAGGGCUGGGCAAGACCGGUGCCAGCCGCCGCGGUAACACCGGCAGCUCUAGUGGUAGCAGUUUUUAUUGGGCCUAAAGCGUCCGUAGCCGGUUUAAUAAGUCUCUGGUGAAAUCCUGUAGCUUAACUGUGGGAAUUGCUGGAGAUACUAUUAGACUUGAGACCGGGAGAGGUUAGAGGUACUCCCAGGGUAGAGGUGAAAUUCUGUAAUCCUGGGAGGACCGCCUGUUGCGAAGGCGUCUAACUGGAACGGUUCUGACGGUGAGGGACGAAAGUUAGGGGCGCGAACCGGAUUAGAUACCCGGGUAGUCCUAACUGUAAACGAUGCGGACUUGGUGUUGGGGUGGCUUUGAGCUGCUCCAGUGCCGAAGGGAAGCUGUUAAGUCCGCCGCCUGGGAAGUACGGUCGCAAGACUGAAACUUAA
This 652-nucleotide ribosomal RNA is filed under the name uncultured archaeon. RNAcentral describes it as "bacterial SSU rRNA". It matches the Rfam family "Archaeal small subunit ribosomal RNA", at positions 207 to 859 of the family's 1478-position model. The record is from RNAcentral.